This 443-nucleotide ribosomal RNA is filed under the name uncultured bacterium. RNAcentral describes it as "partial 16S ribosomal RNA". It matches the Rfam family "Bacterial small subunit ribosomal RNA", at positions 338 to 795 of the family's 1533-position model. The record is from RNAcentral.
CCUACGGGUGGCAGCAGUGGGGAAUAUUGGGCAAUGGGCGCAAGCCUGACCCAGCAACGCCGCGUGAAGGAAGAAGGCUUUCGGGUUGUAAACUUCUUUUCUCAGGGACGAAGCAAGUGACGGUACCUGAUGAAUAAGCCACGGUUAAUUACGUGCCAGCAGCCGCGGUAAUACGUAGGUGGCAAGCGUUAUCCGGAUUUACUGGGUGUAAAGGGCGUGUAGGCGGGGACGCAAGUCAGAUGUGAAAGCCACGGGCUCAACCUGUGGCCUGCAUUUGAAACUGUGUUGCUUGAGUACUGGAGAGGCAGACGGAAUUCCUAGUGUAGCGGUGAAAUGCGUAGAUAUUAGGAGGAACACCAGUGGCGAAGGCGGUCUACUGGACAGCAACUGACGCUGAGGCGCGAAAGCGUGGGGAGCAAACAGGAUUAGAUACCCUUGUAGUC